GAACGCUAGCGGCAGGCCUAAUACAUGCAAGUCGAACGGUGUCUUCGGACAUAGUGGCGCACGGGUGCGUAACACGUAUGCAACCUACCUUACAUUGGGGGAUAGCCUUUCGAAAGGGAGAUUAAUACCGCAUAAGACAGUAGCUGGGCAUCCAGCAGCUGUUAAAGAUUUAUCGAUGUAAGAUGGGCAUGCGUCCAAUUAGUUAGUUGGCGACGUAACGGCUCACCAAGACUUUGAUUGGUAGGGGAACUGAGAGGUCAAUCCCCCACACUGGCACUGAGAUACGGGCCAGACUCCUACGGGAGGCAGCAGUAGGGAAUAUUGGGCAAUGGACGCAAGUCUGACCCAGCCAUGCCGCGUGCAGGAUGAAGGCGUUAUGCGUUGUAAACUGCUUUUAUACAGGAAGAAACGACUCUUGCGAGAGGCAUUGACGGUACUGUAUGAAUAAGCACCGGCUAACUCCGUGCCAGCAGCCGCGGUAAUACGGAGGGUGCAAGCGUUGUCCGGAUUUAUUGGGUUUAAAGGGUGCGCAGGUGGUUUAUUAAGUCAGUGGUGAAAGACGGUCGCUCAACGAUUGCAGUGCCAUUGAAACUGGUAGACUUGAGUAAAGUAGAGGUGGGCGGAAUUGAUAGUGUAGCGGUGAAAUGCAUAGAUAUUAUCAAGAACUCCAAUUGCGUAGGCAGCUCACUUGGCUUUUACUGACACUCAUGCACGAAAGUGUGGGUAUCAAACAGGAUUAGAUACCCUGGUAGUCCACACUGUAAACGAUGAUAACUAGGUGUCGGCCGAAUCUGGUCGGUGCCACA
This 806-nucleotide ribosomal RNA is filed under the name uncultured Arcicella sp. RNAcentral's name for it is "bacterial SSU rRNA". It matches the Rfam family "Bacterial small subunit ribosomal RNA", at positions 31 to 850 of the family's 1533-position model. The record is from RNAcentral. Lineage: Bacteria; Pseudomonadati; Bacteroidota; Cytophagia; Cytophagales; Flectobacillaceae.